Transfer RNA from Trypanosoma cruzi Dm28c, 73 nucleotides. It matches the Rfam family "tRNA". Rfam says of the family: Transfer RNA (tRNA) molecules are approximately 80 nucleotides in length. Their secondary structure includes four short double-helical elements and three loops (D, anti-codon, and T loops). Lineage: Eukaryota; Euglenozoa; Kinetoplastea; Trypanosomatida; Trypanosomatidae. The record is from Rfam.
GCGCAGUUGGUCCAGUGGGAGAAUUCCCGCAUCAUUAAAGCGGGGGGCCCGGGUUCGAUUCCCGGACUGCGCA